RNAcentral lists this ribosomal RNA (253 nucleotides) under uncultured bacterium. RNAcentral's name for it is "partial 16S ribosomal RNA". It matches the Rfam family "Bacterial small subunit ribosomal RNA", at positions 524 to 776 of the family's 1533-position model. The record is from RNAcentral.
UACGUAUGGGGCAAGCGUUAUCCGGAUUUACUGGGUGUAAAGGGAGCGCAGGCGGCCUGGCAAGCCUGAUGCGAAAUACCGGGGCCCAACCCCGGGGCUGCAUUGGGAACUGCCAGGCUGGAGUGCCGGAGAGGCAGGCGGAAUUCCUAGUGUAGCGGUGAAAUGCGUAGAUAUUAGGAGGAACACCAGUGGCGAAGGCGGCCUGCUGGACGGUGACUGACGCUGAGGCUCGAAAGCGUGGGGAGCAAACAGG